GGAUGCCUGUUCACGGAGAAUCUGGUGUUUUCUCUUUCUCUGUGUUUGUGUUUGUUUGUGAUGUGUGUUUUUGUGUUUCUAGCAAAAUCUUACUCUUUUAAGGUGUGAUUGUAGUUAAAAAUUGUGAAUGUGCUAACAAAAAUUGUAGUUUAUGCAAUUUUGGUAUUUUUGAUAUCUUGUCACUCAUGUAGCUAACAAAAAUUGUCUAAACAGAUGGGAUAUCUCAGAGUAUUGGG
RNAcentral lists this unclassified non-coding RNA (236 nucleotides) under Hevea brasiliensis (rubber tree). The record is from RNAcentral. Lineage: Eukaryota; Viridiplantae; Streptophyta; Magnoliopsida; Malpighiales; Euphorbiaceae.